GUCAAGAUUUGUAAAAUCUAAUUCACAUCUUCUGACUGCAACCCAGACACUUUAAUUAAGCUAAAACC
Molecule: transfer RNA, 68 nt
Filed under: Gerrhonotus parvus
Lineage: Eukaryota; Metazoa; Chordata; Lepidosauria; Squamata; Anguidae
Description: tRNA-Ala
Source: RNAcentral